GCUUAUCCGGAUUUAUUGGGUUUAAAGGGAGCGUAGGCGGACGCUUAAGUCAGUUGUGAAAGUUUGCGGCUCAACCGUAAAAUUGCAGUUGAUACUGGGUGUCUUGAGUACAGUAGAGGCAGGCGGAAUUCGUGGUGUAGCGGUGAAAUGCCUAGAUAUCACGAAGAACUCCGAUUGCGAAGGCAGCCUGCUGGACUGUAACUGACGCUGAUGCUCGAAAGUGUGGGUAUCAAACAGGAUUAGAUACCCUGGUAGUCCACACAGUAAACGAUGAAUACUCGCUGUUUGCGAUAUACAGUAAGCGGCCAAGCGAAAGCGUUAAGUAUUCCACCUGGGGAGUACGCCGGCAACGGUGAAACUCAAAGGAAUUGACGGGGGCCCGCACAAGCGGAGGAACAUGUGGUUUAAUUCGAUGAUACGCGAGGAACCUUACCCGGGCUUGAAUUGCAACUGAAUGAUGUGGAGACAUGUCAGCCGCAAGGCAGUUGUGAAGGUGCUGCAUGGUUGUCGUCAGCUCGUGCCGUGAGGUGUCGGCUUAAGUGCCAUAACGAGCGCAACCCUUAUCGAUAGUUACCAUCAGGUUAUGCUGGGGACUCUGUCGAGACUGCCGUCGUAAGAUGUGAGGAAGGUGGGGAUGACGUCAAAUCAGCACGGCCCUUACGUCCGGGGCUACACACGUGUUACAAUGGGGGGUACAGAAGGCAGCUACACGGCGACGUGAUGCUAAUCCCUAAAGCCUCUCUCAGUUCGGAUUGGAGUCUGCAACCCGACUCCAUGAAGCUGGAUUCGCUAGUAAUCGCGCAUCAGCCACGGCGCGGUGAAUACGUUCCCGGGCCUUGUACACACCGCCCGUCAAGCCAUGAAAGCCGGGGGUACCUGAAGUGCGUAACCGCGAGGAGCGCCCUAGG
This 908-nucleotide ribosomal RNA is filed under the name uncultured Bacteroidaceae bacterium. RNAcentral describes it as "bacterial SSU rRNA". It matches the Rfam family "Bacterial small subunit ribosomal RNA", at positions 539 to 1461 of the family's 1533-position model. Lineage: Bacteria; Pseudomonadati; Bacteroidota; Bacteroidia; Bacteroidales; Bacteroidaceae. The record is from RNAcentral.